UGAUGAAGGUUUAUAUCCGUAUAAAAGC
RNAcentral lists this small RNA (28 nucleotides) under Bombyx mori (domestic silkworm). Its description in RNAcentral is "ovarian small RNA-32777". The record is from RNAcentral. Lineage: Eukaryota; Metazoa; Arthropoda; Insecta; Lepidoptera; Bombycidae.